This is a small nuclear RNA of Ursus americanus (American black bear), 135 nucleotides long. NCBI's taxonomy places the organism in Eukaryota, Metazoa, Chordata, Mammalia, Carnivora, Ursidae. The record is from Ensembl.
GUGCUGUAUAAUGAGGAUAAAUAUGUCUGUCUCCGUAAGAGCAGCACAUGUACUAAAAUUAGAAGGAUGGAGAGAAGAUUAGUCUGGCCCCUGCGUGAGAAUGACAUGCAAAUUCGUGAAGUGUUCCGUAUUUGU